UACGGGGGGGGCAAGCGUUGUUCGGAAUUACUGGGCGUAAGGGGCUCGUAGGCGGCCAACUAAGUCAGACGUGAAAUCCCUCGGCUUAACCGGGGAACUGCGUCUGAUACUGGAUGGCUUGAGUUUGGGAGAGGGAUGCGGAAUUCCAGGUGUAGCGGUGAAAUGCGUAGAUAUCUGGAGGAACACCGGUGGCGAAGGCGGCAUCCUGGGCCAACACUGACGCUGAGGAGCGAAAGCCAGGGGAGCAAACGGG
This 253-nucleotide ribosomal RNA is filed under the name uncultured bacterium. RNAcentral describes it as "partial 16S ribosomal RNA". It matches the Rfam family "Bacterial small subunit ribosomal RNA", at positions 524 to 776 of the family's 1533-position model. The record is from RNAcentral.